CAGUAGCCACGGGAAUACGAAGGGGGCUAGCGUUGCUCGGAAUCACUGGGCGUAAAGGGUGCGUAGGCGGGUCUUUAAGUCAGGGGUGAAAUCCUGGAGCUCAACUCCAGAACCGCCUUUGAUACUGAAGAUCUUGAGUUCGGGAGAGGUGAGUGGAACUGCGAGUGUAGAGGUAAAAUUCGUAGAUAUUCGCAAGAACACCAGUGGCGAAGGCGGCUCACUGGCCCGAUACUGACGCUGAGGCACGAAAGCGUGGGGAGCCAACAGGAUUAGAUACCCGAGUAGUCCCUGUCUCUUAUAC
Molecule: ribosomal RNA, 301 nt
Filed under: uncultured bacterium
Lineage: Bacteria
Description: partial 16S ribosomal RNA
Rfam family: Bacterial small subunit ribosomal RNA
Source: RNAcentral